RNAcentral lists this ribosomal RNA (253 nucleotides) under uncultured bacterium. Its description in RNAcentral is "partial 16S ribosomal RNA". It matches the Rfam family "Bacterial small subunit ribosomal RNA", at positions 524 to 776 of the family's 1533-position model. The record is from RNAcentral.
UACGAAGGGGGCUAGCGUUGCUCGGAAUUACUGGGCGUAAAGGGCGCGUAGGCGGAUGUUUAAGUCGGGGGUGAAAGCCCGGGGCUCAACCUCGGAAUUGCCUUCGAUACUGGACAUCUUGAGUACGGGAGAGGUGAGUGGAACUCCGGGAGUAGCGGUGAAAUGCGUAGAGACCCGGAGGAACACCAGUGGCGAAGGCGGCUUCCUGGUCUGCGACUGACGCUGUGGCGCGAAAGCGUGGGGAGCAAACAGG